UUACUACUUGGAUAACCGUGGUAAUUCUAGAGCUAAUACAUGCUAAAAACCUCGACUUCGGAAGGGGUGUAUUUAUUAGAUAAAAAACCAAUGCCCUUCGGGGCUCCUUGGUGAAUCAUAAUAACUUAACGAAUCGCAUGGCCUUGCGCCGGCGAUGGUUCAUUCAAAUUUCUGCCCUAUCAACUUUCGAUGGUAGGAUAGUGGCCUACCAUGGUAUCAACGGGUAACGGGGAAUUAGGGUUCGACUCCGGAGAGGGAGCCUGAGAAACGGCUACCACAUCCAAGGAAGGCAGCAGGCGCGCAAAUUACCCAAUCCCGACACGGGGAGGUAGUGACAAUAAAUACUGAUACAGGGCUCUUUUGGGUCUUGUAAUUGGAAUGAGUACAAUUUAAAUCCCUUAACGAGGAACAAUUGGAGGGCAAGUCUGGUGCCAGCAGCCGCGGUAAUUCCAGCUCCAAUAGCGUAUAUUAAAGUUGUUGCAGUUAAAAAGCUCGUAGUUGAACCUUGGGCCUGGCUGGCCGGUCCGCCUCACCGCGUGUACUGGUCCGGCCGGGCCUUUCCUUCUGGGGAACCGCAUGCCCUUCACUGGGCGUGCCGGGGAACCAGGACUUUUACUUUGAAAAAAUUAGAGUGUUCAAAGCAGGCCUUUGCUCGAAUACAUUAGCAUGGAAUAAUAGAAUAGGACGUGUGGUUCUAUUUUGUUGGUUUCUAGGACCGCCGUAAUGAUUAAUAGGGAUAGUCGGGGGCAUCAGUAUUCAAUUGUCAGAGGUGAAAUUCUUGGAUUUAUUGAAGACUAACUACUGCGAAAGCAUUUGCCAAGGAUGUUUUCAUUAAUCAGUGAACGAAAGUUAGGGGAUCGAAGACGAUCAGAUACCGUCGUAGUCUUAACCAUAAACUAUGCCGACUAGGGAUCGGACGGUGUUAUUAUUUUGACCCGU
This 939-nucleotide ribosomal RNA is filed under the name Dothideomycetes sp. TRN 44. RNAcentral describes it as "SSU rRNA". It matches the Rfam family "Eukaryotic small subunit ribosomal RNA", at positions 132 to 1079 of the family's 1831-position model. Lineage: Eukaryota; Fungi; Ascomycota; Dothideomycetes. The record is from RNAcentral.